RNAcentral lists this transfer RNA (70 nucleotides) under Diaphorencyrtus aligarhensis. Its description in RNAcentral is "tRNA-Gln". Lineage: Eukaryota; Metazoa; Arthropoda; Insecta; Hymenoptera; Encyrtidae. The record is from RNAcentral.
UAUAUAUUAGUGUAAUUUAAACACGUUAAUUUUUGAAAUUAAAUAUAAUAAUUUAUUUUAUUAUGUAUAU